Molecule: ribosomal RNA, 460 nt
Filed under: uncultured bacterium
Lineage: Bacteria
Description: partial 16S ribosomal RNA
Rfam family: Bacterial small subunit ribosomal RNA
Source: RNAcentral
CCUACGGGUGGCUGCAGUGAGGAAUAUUGGUCAAUGGGCGCGAGCCUGAACCAGCCAAGUAGCGUGAAGGAUGACUGCCCUACGGGUUGUAAACUUCUUUUAUAAAGGAAUAAAGUGAGGCACGUGUGCCUUUUUGUAUGUACGUUAUGAAUAAGGAUCGGCUAACUCCGUGCCAGCAGCCGCGGUAAUACGGAGGAUCCGAGCGUUAUCCGGAUUGAUUGGGUUUAAAGGGAGCGUAGAGGGGUUGUUAAGUCAGUUGUGAAAGUUUGGGGCUCAACCGUAAAAUUGCAAUUGAUACUGGCAGCCUUGAGUACAGUAGAGGUAGGCGGAAUUCGUGGUGUAGCGGUGAAAUGCUUAGAUAUCACGAAGAACUCCGAUUGCGAAGGCAGCUUCCUAAACUGCCACUGACGUUGAUGCUCGAAAGUGUGGGUAUCAAACAGGAUUAGAUACCCUUGUAGUC